GCUCUUCCGAUCUGAAAGGCGCCUGCCUCUCCCAUCUGCCUGUCUGGCUGGCAGGGAAGGAAAAGAACAUGCAUGUUGGUGAAGGAAGAAGCUGGGUGGGACGACAGUGAAAUCGAGAGUGAAAACCAAGCUGGUCCGGGGUGUCCUGCAGGCUGUAAAAUGCAGUUUAAUCAGAGUGCCAUUUUUUUUUGUUCAAAUGAUUUUAAUUGUUGGAAUGCACAGUUUUUUUAAUAUGCAAUAAAAAGUACUAAAACCUG
Non-coding RNA from Callorhinus ursinus (northern fur seal), 257 nucleotides. The record is from RefSeq and is a predicted model, not a curated record. NCBI's taxonomy places the organism in Eukaryota, Metazoa, Chordata, Mammalia, Carnivora, Otariidae.